GUGUGUUUGCUUCCUCUUCUGCCAUGAUUGGAAUUUUCCUGAUGCUUCCUAGCCCUACAGAACUUAGACAGCUCAAAGACUGGAUCUACGUUUGCAUCAUUUGCUGUGUGUAAACUCAGGAAAGUAUGGAUUUUCAUUAUUUUAUUAGUAAGAAAUUUGCCUGCAGUCAACAGGAUGAGCUGUUCGACAGUUGCCUUGAUGGAUCAUUCAUAAUGAUUACUUAGUGCUUGACAGUUACUAAAUAUUAUAGAGUCUAUUUAUUUUUAAUUAUUAUCAGGAAUGAGGUUAAUUGGCUUCAAAAUCACAAUUUUUUUAGGCUACAGGGUGGUGUGCAGGCAUCGUAAGAGUAACCAGAAUUUUACUAUCGUGUUAAAAGCAAAAGGUUCAGCUGGGUGCAGUGGCUAACACCUGCAAUCCCAGCACUUUGGGAGGCCAGGGCAAGCGGAUCACCUGAGGUCAGGAGUUUGAGACCAGCCUGGCCAACGUGGUGAAACCUCAUCUCUACAAAAAUACAAAAAAAUCAGCCGGGCAUGAUAGUGGAUGCCUGUAAUCCCAGCUACUCAGGAGGCUGAGGCGGGAGAGUUGCCUGAACCCAGGAGUCAGAGGUUGGAGUGAGCUGAUAUCACGCCAUUGUACUCCAGCCUGGGCAACAGAGUGAGACUGGAUAAAUACCAUGAAGUUAUUUCAAAUCUACUUCCCUUGGGCAUUUUGAACUAAGCCAUGUUACAUUGUUAAGGUGCAUCAUGUCUAUGAGUCUAAUGAUCAAACUGAGUGGUCAGCAACUUUUUCUGUGAAAACCAAAUCAUGACUACCUUAGGCUUUGAAGGUCAUAGAAUCUCUGAUUUUUGCUAUUUCUGUCGAGAGACAACCUCUUGGAGCUAUUUAUUCUGCUGUUUUUGCAGAAAUCAUCCAAUGGACAAGGUCCAAUUUUGAGUCACAUGGGCUCAGAGGAGAACCCCUAGAUGGCUAACAAAGCAGUCUACAUCAAGCUCUUCUGCUGCAUACCAAUGUGAGACAGUUGUUUCAAAGCAACAGUAACAAAAAUAAAAAAAAUUAAAAAUCUAUAUAAUUAUUUAAGUUGUAAGCAAUUGAAUUAAACGUUCUUUUAGGACAUUAUUCAAAUUGAAAGAAUGACAUACACAAAUUAUGGCUAUUCAGUAUUGGGUAUUUGGUGGAUAUUAUUUCAGAAAUGAAUAAUGUGAACACUUUACUUAAAAAUGGCUAAUGAUCACCACACUGUCUUCCACCUUGGUUGAACUAAUUUACACUCCCACCAACAGGGUAAAAGCGUUCCUAUUUCUCCAUAGCCUCUCUAGCAUCUGUUGUUUCCUGACUUCCUCAAGGAUCUAGAAUCAGAAAUACCAUUUGACCCAGCAAUCCCGUUACUGGGUAUAUACCCAAAGAAUGAUAAUCAUUCUACUAUAAAGAUACAUGCACAUGUAUGUUUAUUGCAGCACUGUUCACAACAGCAAAGACUUGGAACCAACCCAAAUGACCAUCAAUGGUAGACUGGAUAAAGAAAACGUGGCACAUAUACACCAUGGAAUACUAUGCAGAUAUGAAAAAAGAUGAGCUCAUGUCCUUUGCAAGGACAUGGAUGAAGCUGGAAACCAUCAUUCUCAGCAAAUUAACACAGGAACAGUAAACCAAACACUGCAAGUUCUCACUCGUAAGUGGGAGUUGAACAAUAAGAACACAUGGACACACGGAAGGGAACAUCACACAACAGGGCCUGUCAGGGUAUGGGAGACUAGGGGAUGGAUAGCAUUAGAAGAAAUACCUAAUGUAGAUGACAGGUUGAUGGGUGCAGAAAACCACCAUGGCACGUGUAUACGUAUGUAACAAACCUGCACGUUCUGCACAUGUAUCCCAGAACUUAUAGUUUAAUUAAAAAAUAAAAAUAAAAAACCAUUAGAAAAUGGCUAAUGAUAAAAGCUGAGAUAUUCUAAUCUGUAUAUGCUAUAGAAUUAUGGAAAACAUAUCUACCACCAUAAGUUUGAUAGGUUUCCAAUGCAUAGAGACUUUUCUAAUGAAGUCUGUGCUUUUAUUAACGAAUACGAUUUUUGAUAUUAUUUAAAGUGUGUCAAUAUUUGGAAAAGCUGGAUAACCCAUUGAACAAGUAUUUCCUAAAUGACCAAUGCAUGUUACAAAAUCAUCAUGGGUAAAAUAUCCAUUCAUUGUGUAAGAUAGAUUAAAAUGAAUUUUAAUGCAAGACCCCAAAAAAGUAGAAAAAGUGUAUCUAUACAGUUCUGAAUUCUGUAUUGAAACUGCCUUUUAAGAACUACAAUUUGUUCGAGUUUUGAUGUCAUACAAAAGAAGAAUAUUCAUAAUUAUCUGAGAUGGCUAUUAAAAUGUUCCUCCCUUUUCUAAUUACAUGUCUGUGUGAUAAAGGAUUUUCUCCACAUAUACUAACCGAUAUGACAUGCCACAACUGACUGAAUGAAGAAGCAGAUAGAAGAAUCUUGCUGUCCUCUAUUAAGCCAGCUAAAACAGAGAUUUUCAAAAAUUGUUUGAUCAAGGUAUUAUCUUCAAAUGUCACUUUCAUGGAAUGAUGUGGAGGUCCACAAGCCUGGAUCACGGGCUCUGCCAGUGGCUGUGAUGUUACCUGCUGCGGUCUUUCUCUCUUGCUUCGGCACAUGAUGAGACUCUUCUCUGAGGCUCCCUUAUCAACCUAUCAACCCAGAAACUGGACCUGCCAAAGAACACAACUGCCUUCUAUUCUUUCCCUGAAAUGUCAUUAACCAGAGGCGAUUAAAACUCACACCACAGAGGAAGAGAUUGAAAAUUAAAUUCUACAUGUACAGACCAGACAAUCCUUGUCCCAUACUGUAGUCUGUUCUCCACUCCUAUUCAAUUCCCAGAGAGAAUCAUUUACUAAAUAUUGUCUAAGUAUUGGGCCUCAAACAUUCCCCCUGCAUGUCAUUUACCACCCUUCAGAAUGGUCACAAUUUCCCAUCUUUCUUCCUUUAUGAAGAAAGAUAUAUAAACAUCUGUACCUCAUUGAAUUAUUUAGUAAUCACUCUCCUGUGAUUCUCCAGAGCUUAUGUAUGUUAAACCAAUUUGUGUGCUUUUUUUACCUAUGAAUCUGCCUGUUGUCAAUUCAUUUUCAGUGAGCCUUCAGGGGGCAGAGGAAAAACUUCCCCUUGUCCUCUACAAUAAAAUAUGUUUAGAAAAACAUCUGUGUAUUUCUUUUAUUAUUAACUUUUAAAAAUAGAAAUGAGUAUUUAA
This is a long non-coding RNA of Pongo pygmaeus (Bornean orangutan), 3228 nucleotides long. RefSeq lists it as uncharacterized. The transcript has 4 exons. The record is from RefSeq and is a predicted model, not a curated record. NCBI's taxonomy places the organism in Eukaryota, Metazoa, Chordata, Mammalia, Primates, Hominidae.